UUCACUUCAACCUUUUCUCUCACAGCCGCUUCUUCUCUUCUCUGUUAGGGUUUAUCAUCGCCGGCUUCUUAACACUUUUCGAUUUGAGACCCCCACAUACCACCCACAUAGGGGACUUUUAUCACGCACAGACCCUCGCAAUGCGUUGCCUGAGCCUCUCAUCUCUCACUGAGUCACGCGGCCCCUCACGCAGCCGGCAGCCCCUCUCUCACGUCUCUCUGUUUUCGAGUCCAACGGGUUUUGAUGUUAGGACCCCUCCCAGUUGAUGAACAACCUGUGUGUUGUAAUCGAGCAAAAGGCAAGGCAAAUACACAAUACAAAUGGAAAUGGAAAUGUAGGAAUGGCACAGAAGAUAUUUGAUAGAAAUUCUAAUAGAAACGUGAGUCACGCUGGGCUAGUUCGAGGCAGCCCUUCCUCCAAAUGAAAAUCCAUAAUUCGUCAUCUAAACCGGAAAAUCGGACCGAAUGGCUGAUGCUGCGGCUUGUAGGCGGUGGGGGCAAUUUGGAAAGCAGUUGGUUUGUAGGCAUAUUUCUGAGCACAUGAAAUCGAAUGGAAAUCAGUUGUUUCUCGUUGACACAUUAGCCAUAAUUGAAACGAUUCAAGAAUUCAAUUUGUCCAAAUUCAAGAGCUCAAAGAGAAGGCCAAGCUCUCCAAUUGAAGGCUACAAGCUUAAAUUCCCAUCUAACUAUUCAAAAAACUGCAAUACUUAGACUACGACUUAUUGAGAUUUUUGAUGUAAAACGGCUUCAAAUGCGCUAUGCAACUUCUUUGAUUGGGGGACCAUCCACGCUAGCUACUUCUAUAGCUGUAUAUACACUUUUUGGGCCAACCUUUCCUGGAAUUUAUGAUAAGAAAGAAGUGUUUACACUCUAUUUUACCAGGCCUGUCCUUUGCUUUUCGAAUUCCUAGCCAGUAUACAGAUUGCUGCCAUGAUAGGGAGGAAUUGCCAUUAGAGUUUCCGGAUGGUACCACACCAGUGACAUGUCAUGUCUCCAUAUAUGAUGGUUCUACGGAGAAUAAAGUUUGUGUAGGAUCCUUAAUGGACAAGGCUUCUGCUCCUUCAUUACCUGUUGGGAGCCUUUACAUGGAGGAGGUGAAUGUUAAGGAUGUCUGUCUGGACUGAAUUAGGUCGUCCUUGUGGAAUUCAUCAAAAGCAGCUUGAUCAUCGAACAAAGCCUUAUCCUGAGCAGUAGGCAAUGCGACCCGGACUUUUUUUUUAUGCAACCAGGACUUCCCAUUGUUUGAGUUAUAGUCGUACAUGCAAUGUAAUCAUAACGUCUCGUGUCUUUGACCCUAAAUUAUAGAUGAAUGGAUCGUAGCAUUUUGUAGGCUACCGUGUGCCACAUGUUUCAAAAUCAAAGUUUCAUUUUUUUUUUUUUUUUUGGUUUAUGAAUUUGUUUAGCAUAAAGCCUAUGAAGAAGUACCCAACUUAAUUUCA
Molecule: long non-coding RNA, 1438 nt
Organism: Juglans regia (Persian walnut)
Lineage: Eukaryota; Viridiplantae; Streptophyta; Magnoliopsida; Fagales; Juglandaceae
Exons: 10
Source: RefSeq, a predicted model, not a curated record